Small nucleolar RNA from Psammomys obesus (fat sand rat), 132 nucleotides. RefSeq annotates it as small nucleolar RNA SNORA17. The transcript has a single exon. Lineage: Eukaryota; Metazoa; Chordata; Mammalia; Rodentia; Muridae. The record is from RefSeq and is a predicted model, not a curated record.
ACCUCCCCUAGAGGCAUUGCAGGUGUGGCUGCUCUGUCACAUGAGCAUCAGUAGGUGGCAGGGACCAGAGAGGCUACUUCUAUGCUCACUGUUCUGAGCUAUAUACGCAUGAAUGAUUAGUAGCGUAGCAUU